This 464-nucleotide long non-coding RNA is filed under the name Salvia miltiorrhiza (redroot sage). RNAcentral's name for it is "long non-coding RNA (SMIL_LNC012464)". Lineage: Eukaryota; Viridiplantae; Streptophyta; Magnoliopsida; Lamiales; Lamiaceae. The record is from RNAcentral.
UGUUUAAAAAGAAAAAGGGAGUAGAAGAAUGUUUUGAAGCAUGAUGAUAAAAAUGGAGUCUUGAGUCUUGUUUUUGCUUGUCGGGUCUGCCGAGUUUAGGAGAGAGUGUGGAGGGUGCCGGUAAUGGUGGCUUGGCUACUGUCGCCGGAAGGACGAGUCGUCGGAGGUGGAGGGAGGCAGGGCACGGCGGUGGUUAGCUCCUGCUGCCUGCUUCAUCUGCUGCUGUCGGCCGAAGAUUUGAGGGAGAGGCGGCGAGGCAAGGGCCUUGUCGCCGCUCUGAGCCGGGUCAGGGUAGAAACGGUGGCGGUGAUUCUCGCCGCUGCCGGUGGAAAUUGGAGAAGAGAGGGAGUGUGGGCGGUGUGAACCGAGAGAGAGAGAGAGGGAGAAGAGAGUCAGGGGCGGCGGCCAUCGUCGCCGGAGACGAAGAGGCCAGAGGGAAUGGGAGGGACAUGCGGCGCAGCUGU